ACCCUGUGCCGUGCCGCGCAGUUAGGCAGCAGCAGUGGAGCAGUAGCCGCCUUGGGAGGGAGCCAUGAAGCACUACGAGGUGGAGAUUCUGGAUGCAAAGACAAGGGAGAAGCUGUGUUUCUUGGACAAGGUGGAGCCCCACGCCACCAUUGCGGAGAUCAAGAACCUCUUCACCAAGACCCAUCCACAGUGGUACCCCGCCCGCCAGUCCCUCCGCCUGGACCCCAGUGAGUACAGCUGUCCACUCGGCCCACCCUAUGGGCUCCUGGGUGGCAGUGGGAGAAGGCCCGGGCAGCCCCUGAGCCCUGGCCCGCCUCUCUGCAGAGGGCAAGUCCCUGAAGGAUGAGGAUGUUCUGCAGAAGCUGCCCGUGGGCACCACGGCCACACUCUACUUCCGGGACCUGGGGGCCCAGAUCAGCUGGGUGACGGUGAGUCCUGACCCUACCCACGGCCUCUUUUCCCGUCAGCCACAUUGGGUGACUCAUCUUGCCCCCCUCUACCCUCAGGUCUUCCUAACAGAGUACGCAGGGCCCCUUUUCAUCUACCUGCUCUUCUACUUCCGAGUGCCCUUCAUCUAUGGCCAUAAAUAUGACUUCACGUCCAGUCGGCACACAGUGGUGCAGUAAGUGGGGCAGGCGGGAGGA
This 644-nucleotide small RNA is filed under the name Pongo abelii (Sumatran orangutan). RNAcentral's name for it is "retained intron". Lineage: Eukaryota; Metazoa; Chordata; Mammalia; Primates; Hominidae. The record is from RNAcentral.